UAAUACGUAGGGGGCGAGCGUUAUCCGGAUUUACUGGGUGUAAAGGGCGAGUAGGCGGGAUGGAAAGUCAGAUGUGAAAUACCGAGGCUUAACUUCGGGGCUGCAUUUGAAACUUCCAUUCUUGAGUGAUGGAGAGGCAGGCGGAAUUCCCAGUGUAGCGGUGAAAUGCGUAGAUAUUGGGAAGAACACCAGUGGCGAAGGCGGCCUGCUGGACAUUAACUGACGCUGAGGAGCGAAAGCGUGGGGAGCAAACAGGAUUAGAUACCCUGGUAGUCCACGCUGUAAACGAUGGAUACUAGGUGUGGGGGGUAUUGACCCCUCCCGUGCCGGAGUUAACACAAUAAGUAUCCCACCUGGGGAGUACGGCCGCAAGGUUGAAACUUAAAGGAAUUGACGG
This 397-nucleotide ribosomal RNA is filed under the name bacterium enrichment culture. RNAcentral describes it as "bacterial SSU rRNA". It matches the Rfam family "Bacterial small subunit ribosomal RNA", at positions 521 to 916 of the family's 1533-position model. The record is from RNAcentral.